GAUGAACGCUGGCGGCGUGCUUAACACAUGCAAGUCGAACGAAGAUGCCGGAGUGCUUGCACUUUGGCAGACUGAGUGGCGGACGGGUGAGUAACGCGUGGGUAACCUGCCUUAUACAGGGGGAUAACAGUUGGAAACGACUGCUAAUACCGCAUAAGCGCACGGUAUCGCAUGAUACAGUGUGAAAAACUCCGGUGGUAUAAGAUGGACCCGCGUCUGAUUAGCUUGUUGGUGAGGUAACGGCCCACCAAGGCGACGAUCAGUAGCCGGCCUGAGAGGGUGAACGGCCACAUUGGGGACUGAGACACGGGCCCAAAACUUCCCUACGGGGAGGCAGCAGUGGGGAAUAUUGCACAAUGGGGGAAACCCUGAUGCAGCGACGCCGCGUGAGUGAUGAAGUAUUUCGGUAUGUAAAACUCUAUCAGCAGGGAAGAUAAUGACGGUACCUGACUAAGAAGCACCGGCUAAAAUACGUG
RNAcentral lists this ribosomal RNA (476 nucleotides) under uncultured bacterium. RNAcentral's name for it is "bacterial SSU rRNA". It matches the Rfam family "Bacterial small subunit ribosomal RNA", at positions 28 to 507 of the family's 1533-position model. The record is from RNAcentral.